AUUGAACGCUGGCGGCAGGCCUAACACAUGCAAGUCGAGCGGAUGAAGGGAGCUUGCUCCUGGAUUCAGCGGCGGACGGGUGAGUGAUGCCUAGGAAUCUGCCUGGUAGUGGGGGAUAACGUCCGGAAACGGGCGCUAAUACCGCAUACGUCCUGAGGGAGAAAGUGGGGGAUCUUCGGACCUCACGCUAUCAGAUGAGCCUAGGUCGGAUUAGCUAGUCGGUGGGGUAAAGGCCUACCAAGGCGACGAUCCGUAACUGGUCUGAGAGGAUGAUCAGUCACACUGGAACUGAGACACGGUCCAGACUCCUACGGGAGGCAGCAGUGGGGAAUAUUGGACAAUGGGCGAAAGCCUGAUCCAGCCAUGCCGCGUGUGUGAAGAAGGUCUUCGGAUUGUAAAGCACUUUAAGUUGGGAGGAAGGGCAGUAAGUUAAUACCUUGCUGUUUUGACGUUACCAACAGAAUAAGCACCGGCUAACUUCGUG
RNAcentral lists this ribosomal RNA (484 nucleotides) under uncultured bacterium. Its description in RNAcentral is "partial 16S ribosomal RNA". It matches the Rfam family "Bacterial small subunit ribosomal RNA", at positions 30 to 507 of the family's 1533-position model. The record is from RNAcentral.